CUAAAAGCUAAAAGCUAAAAGCUAAAAGAUAAAAGAUAAAAGCUAAAAGAUAAAAGCUAAAAGAUAAAAGAUAAAAGCUAAAAGAUAAAAGCUAAAAGAUAAAAGCUAAAAGAUUAAAAACUAAAACCUAAAAACUAAAACCUAAAAACUAAAAACUAAAAGCUAAAAGCUAAAAGUUAAAAACUAAAAGAUAAAAACUAAAAGCAAGGCUUUCCCAAAAUUUGAAAUAAAACGUCAACUUUAACACUUCUUUCAUUUGUCUCAUUGUUCCUAUUAUUUUAUAUUAUGUCUAAAAUAAUGCCUGAUUUUCAAAAUUCAAAAAAAAAAUAAAAUAAAAUAAUUAAAUAAAUAACAAAAAAGAGAAAGUAGUAUUACAUAGAUAUUAGUAACUUUUUUUUUAACAUGUUAUUUGGAAACUUAAACUUUUAAACUCAUCUUUAAGGCUUUUUUAUCAUCAUCAUCAUCUUUUUAUUUUAUUUUUUUUUUUUUUUUAAUUAACAAUUGCCAUAAAUUUGUGUAUAAUUAAAAAAUUAAUGUUUGAAAUUUUAUUAAGGCUUUAUUUAGGCUUUUAUUUAGACUUUUUUUAUUUGCUCAUAUAAAGGAAUAAACUUAAUAGAUUUAAUUUUUUGAAAAAAAAUAUAGAAGUUUUUAAUGUUCUAAAUAUUAAUCUAACGUUUUAUAACAUUUAUGAUGUUAAUGAAAGCAUGUAGAAAGUAUAUUUGUUGUAUCUUCCGUUUAUAUCAUUUUUGCAUAAUUUAAUUAAAACGGUUAGAAGUUAAGAUUAUAUAUUUGUGUAUAUAUAUAUGUACGUGCAAAAACAAAAUGGAGUAUGAAGGAGAAACGUUUCAAUUAACGACCUACCAAAUAAAGAAAACAGUGAAAGCUUUUAAAUAUUUGGAUAAAAAAAAAAAGGGAUUACUAAAAUUUGAUUUAUUAGGAAGUUUAUUACGAUGCAGUGGAUAUAAUGUAUCGUUAAGAGAAAUACAAAAUAUCAAAGAAAAAAUUAUAGAAAAUAAGAUAAAAAGAAAAAAUAAAGAAAUCAUAGAAAAAAGAGAAAACGAAAUAACACAAGAUGAAGAAACGAAUAAGCUAGAUAAAGACAACUUAAAUAGUAGUAAUAAAAAAAAUAAUGGUGAUGAUGAUUAUGAUGAUAAUAUGUCGGAAUUAUUAGACAAUUUUAAGAAUUAUGAUAAUUUUAUAGAGUUAGAAAAAAAAAAAAAAGAAAUGGAAAAAAAAAGAGAAGAAGAUAAAAAUCGAUUUAGUAUAAAAGAAUUUUUUCAAAUUAUACAAAUACCAAAUAUAACAAAUGAAACAAAACCUGCAAAUGUUUUAAAUUCUUUUGAAUUAUUUGAUGAAGAAGGAAAUGGAAAAAUAUCAAUAAAAAAGUUAAGAUUUAUUCUUCAAUAUUUAGGAGAACCUUUAAGCAAUAAAGAAUUUGAUGAGUUUUUUGAAUGGAUGAAAACGAAAGGAAAAGCCUACAAAAAUGAUCAUAUAAUAUAUGAAGAGUUACUAAACGAACUAACAAACAAAGAUGUUAACAUGUGAUGCUAGUAUU
RNAcentral lists this long non-coding RNA (1555 nucleotides) under Piliocolobus tephrosceles (Ugandan red Colobus). RNAcentral's name for it is "lncRNA (ENSPTEG00000034282.1)". The record is from RNAcentral. Lineage: Eukaryota; Metazoa; Chordata; Mammalia; Primates; Cercopithecidae.